AUAUGAGAAAAUGGAACUGAGAGACCCUGCGAAGGAGGAGAUCCCUGAGAAAAAGCGCAACACCAGCCAGAAGCUCAGCCUCGGAUACCUGCACAUGGCCGUCAGACAGAAGACGGGCAUGAAGACGAGAGCAGGGUCAGACCCUAAAGAACAGCAAGGCCACCUUGGCUAUGGAGCAGACAGUGGACCUGAAAUUGCAACAAGAAACAGAAGCUCAGCCUCGGAUACCUGCACAUGGCCGUCAGACAGAAGACGGGCAUGAAGACGAGAGCAGGGUCAGACCCUAAAGAACAGCAAGGCCACCUUGGCUAUGGAGCAGACAGUGGACCUGAAAUUGCAACAAGAAACAGG
This 351-nucleotide long non-coding RNA is filed under the name Gallus gallus (chicken). Its description in RNAcentral is "lncRNA (ENSGALG00010025975.1)". Lineage: Eukaryota; Metazoa; Chordata; Aves; Galliformes; Phasianidae. The record is from RNAcentral.